GACGUAGGGCGCGAGCGUUGUCCGGAUUUAUUGGGCGUAAAGAGCUCGUAGGCGGCUUGUCGCGUCGACUGUGAAAUCCCGCGGCUCAACUGCGGGUCUGCAGUCGAUACGGGCAGGCUAGAGUUCGGUAGGGGAGACUGGAAUUCCUGGUGUAGCGGUGAAAUGCGCAGAUAUCAGGAGGAACACCGAUGGCGAAGGCAGGUCUCUGGGCCACUACUGACGCUGAGAAGCGAAAGCAUGGGGAGCGAACAGG
This 253-nucleotide ribosomal RNA is filed under the name uncultured bacterium. RNAcentral describes it as "partial 16S ribosomal RNA". It matches the Rfam family "Bacterial small subunit ribosomal RNA", at positions 524 to 776 of the family's 1533-position model. The record is from RNAcentral.